This 231-nucleotide ribosomal RNA is filed under the name uncultured bacterium. Its description in RNAcentral is "partial 16S ribosomal RNA". It matches the Rfam family "Bacterial small subunit ribosomal RNA", at positions 118 to 347 of the family's 1533-position model. The record is from RNAcentral.
UGAGUAACCUGCCCUUAACUCUGGGAUAAGCCUGGGAAACUGGGUCUAAUACCGGAUAUGACUCCUCAUCGCAUGGUGGGGGUGGAAAGCUUUUUGUGGUUUUGGACGGACUCGCGGCCUAUCAGUUUGUUGGUGAGGUAAUGGCUCACCAAGGCGACGACGGGUAGCCGGCCUGAGAGGGUGACCGGCCACACUGGGACUGAGACACGGCCCAGACUCCUACGGGAGCAG